This 478-nucleotide ribosomal RNA is filed under the name uncultured bacterium. RNAcentral's name for it is "partial 16S ribosomal RNA". It matches the Rfam family "Bacterial small subunit ribosomal RNA", at positions 28 to 523 of the family's 1533-position model. The record is from RNAcentral.
GACGAACGCUGGCGGCGUGCUUAACACAUGCGAGUCGAACGGUAAGGCCCUUCGGGGUACACGAGUGGCGAACGGGUGAAUAACACGUGGGUGAUCUGCCCUGCACUUCGGGAUAAGCCUGGGAAACUGGGUCUAAUACCGGAUAGGACCACUGCCUGCAUGGGUGGUGGUGGAAAGCUUUUGCGGUGUGGGAUGGGCCCGCGGCCUAUCAGCUUGUUGGUGGGGUGAUGGCCUACCAAGGCGACGACGGGUAGCCGGCCUGAGAGGGUGACCGGCCACACUGGGACUGAGAUACGGCCCAGACUCCUACGGGAGGCAGCAGUGGGGAAUAUUGCACAAUGGGCGCAAGCCUGAUGCAGCGACGCCGCGUGAGGGAUGACGGCCUUCGGGUUGUAAACCUCUUUCAGCACCGACGAAGCGCAAGUGACGGUAGGUGCAGAAGAAGGACCGGCCAACUACGUGCCAGCAGCCGCCGUAA